Rhipicephalus microplus (southern cattle tick) is the source of this 1977-nucleotide long non-coding RNA. The record is from RefSeq and is a predicted model, not a curated record. NCBI's taxonomy places the organism in Eukaryota, Metazoa, Arthropoda, Arachnida, Ixodida, Ixodidae.
CCAGCAGCCAAGACUAUCAAGGAAAUAGGGAUGUUAGAAGAUGACGUAACACUUCAAAUGAGGAUCUGGAACAGCAAGGGUAAAUAAGACAUAUCAUGAAUGCAUGUUGUACAAGAAGCAGAAACUUCGAUGCCUUCAUGAUAAACUGCCCCAAGAGGAGGCUUAAUCGCAUAUCAGUCUGCAUGCAUCUGUACCUCCUGGAAGGCAAGAUUCGGUGAAAGGCACACUUUGGACGGAUUUCCUCAUUUUAGACCCAGCCCACAACCAGCAUCCUAGACAUACCAAGUAAAUGUACUCUCCAUGUUGUCUGCAGGAAAGCCAACACAUGCGAUUUGAAAUUUAGGGAUGAAGCUCUUCAAAGCUCCACAUUUUUGGGGGUCGGCGCAAGCGUUAAUUGUGCAUGGCUGGGAAGCAGUGACUGUAACUACUCUCCAACCUUUAAACAAGCUCACUUGAAGCACUGUUUACCACGAAUGGCAUUUCACUGGGAAUAUUCUGCUUGUGAGAGCCAUCCUCUUCAUUAGUGCAAGCACUACCUAGAAGGGACUAGCCAGGCUGUUGUGCAAAUUACCCGGUGUAUAGGCCAAUAGACUUUUCAACUAUCAAGAAUCUUUACUUCAUGUCGGUGCGUAUAGGAGAGGCACAUUUGGGCUGACUCUGGCUUCUCAACUGUACUCGGUGUUCGGCAUGGAUGUCGGAGCACAAGCUAUCGAAUGUGCCAACUACAAUGCUCCUAUAAAUGGUCCUCUUACAAUAUGAAAGUCAAGGUGCGACAUGAAAGGCCGUACCAUCAAAGCCUUAACAAUGAAAUCUCUCGCAAGCAGCUUCUGGUUGUCCAUGCGCUUCCUUUUUCUCUACUUAGGGGUCUGUUAUUCUGUCUGUCUGAAUUUCUCACUAUCUGCAUUCGCCUGUCCAUUUAUCUGCCUGUAUAUCUCUCCAUGUUUGUUUCGUUGUCUGUCCACGUUUCUCUGCAUGCCUUAGUCUAUACGUUUGUCUGCCAGCAUUUCAUUGUGUCCCUGUGUAGUCUUUCGUCAGUCUGACUGUCCGUUCAUGUGCCCCUGUCUGUUAGUAUAUCCUUCUAUGUUAAUAAUUUGUCUGUCUCGGCAUUUAACUGCGUGCAAAUGUCUGUCUAUUGUUGUUUUCUUGUUUAUCUGUCUACGUUUGUCUUGGCCUCCGUCUGUCUCCAUUUUUCUGUUAUGACUCGGCCUUCUCUGUUCGAUACUCUGUUGUUUCUGUUCGUCUGUGUGCAUCUGUGUCUCUAUCCUGCCCGUGAGUCCGUCUCAUUGUAACUGGUUUUUGUUCUAACUAUCAGUCUUUCCAUUUCUUUCUCUGCACCGCUCUCUCCAUCUCUUUGUGUGUUCUUUCCACUGCCCAUCUGUUUGCGUUUGUACAUUUGUACUACCCGUCAGUUCCUCUCUCCGUAUGUGGCUUUUCUGUGUAUCUAUAGGUCUAUUUCUGUUUCUGUCUUUCUGUUCAUCUCUCCGUUCGUUCUUUUCACUGUCAAUCUGUAUGCGUCUGUCUUUAUCAUGCCCAUCGGUUCGUCUCUCAGUAACUGGUUUUUCGGUGUAUCCUUGUGUCCAUUUGUGUGUUUCUCUGUAUGACUGUUUACCUCUUCAACCUUUGUUUUCACCGUCAAUCUGCGUCCAUGCCUCUAUACUUCAGUCUAUUAUUAGGUGUCUGUGUUUCUCUAUCCAUCCGUUCGACAGUCUUUGCACCUAUCCACCGUUCUGUCUUUUAGGGCGAAGCUCCUUGGGCCGUGGGUCGUUUCCUUCUCUAUAAGAGUAGUAUGUAGCCACCUCCAGUUUGAGUUGCUCAUUAGGUGGCAUUGUAUAUGUGCUUGGGAAUAAUAUAACUUGAUGGCAUUUGUGGUUUACACAGCAUAUCCGCGGAGUAAAUGAUGAGUCUGGCGAAGCAUCCGCGCGUCCGUCCGUGCAUCCGCUGUGCGUCCGCUUGCCCGCCCGUCUGCGCGUCCGUCCA